AAACUGCGAUAAGUAGCGUGAAUUGCAGACGCUUUGAACGUUAAACUUUCGAACGCACAUUGCGCCGUAGGAAUCCUACCCUGCGGCACAUCUGGUUGAGGGUCGUGAUCAAAAACAGCAGGAAUAGAAAUAGCUGGUGAAUCACGAGUUCGGCCUACCGCCUCUGGCUGAACGUGUUUUGUCAUAAUGCUAGCAGGGGACAAUCGCUCGCACGAGAGAUUGCCUACCACACGGAUGAUCUAUUAGCUGAAGCAAUGGGUCUCGAUCACCGGAUAUCAUGCUUAUAUACUCUGUGUCGUCUGAGAUACAGCUAGUGGGCUUCAUACGUGCCUAGUAUCGAGAGUAUUCGCUCUCCCGACCUCAAGUCAGGUGUGAUUACCCGCUGAACUUAA
RNAcentral lists this unclassified non-coding RNA (392 nucleotides) under uncultured fungus. RNAcentral describes it as "sequence contains ITS1". The stretch from base 1 to 105 matches the Rfam family "5.8S ribosomal RNA", at positions 50 to 154 of the family's 154-position model. The record is from RNAcentral. Lineage: Eukaryota; Fungi.